This 253-nucleotide ribosomal RNA is filed under the name uncultured bacterium. RNAcentral's name for it is "partial 16S ribosomal RNA". It matches the Rfam family "Bacterial small subunit ribosomal RNA", at positions 524 to 776 of the family's 1533-position model. The record is from RNAcentral.
GACGGAGGGGGCUAGCGUUGUUCGGAAUUACUGGGCGUAAAGCGCGUGUAGGCGGUUGUUCAAGUCAGGUGUGAAAGCCUUGAGCUCAACUCAAGAAAUGCACUUGAUACUGGAUGACUAGGGGACCGGAGAGGAUAGUGGAAUUCCCAGUGUAGUGGUGAAAUACGUAGAGAUUGGGAAGAACACCAGUGGCGAAGGCGGCUAUCUGGACGGUUUCUGACGCUAAGACGCGAAAGCGUGGGGAGCAAACAGG